This 369-nucleotide long non-coding RNA is filed under the name Capsella rubella. RNAcentral describes it as "long non-coding RNA (CRUB_LNC003348)". The record is from RNAcentral. Lineage: Eukaryota; Viridiplantae; Streptophyta; Magnoliopsida; Brassicales; Brassicaceae.
UUGCUUUAUGUUUGAAGCUAUAUAGUAGUACUAGUUAAUAAAAUCUAAAGCUUGUAAAAGUAAUUAGUAAAAAAAUCUAUAACUUGAGUCAAAAGAAGAAAAGGUAAUAUCAAGAGUACUAUUGCAUUGGUAUAUUCCAGGAUGAAACUAUCAAAUACAUGGUCAUUUUUUUUUAAUUUUUUAUUUUGGGCAAAAUACAUGGUCAUUAUAUAAACUGAUAAACAAAUAUGCGAAGAAACUUGAGAUUUUGUAUGUAAAUUUUACAUGCAUGAAAGAGUAGCUAGUAAAUCACUCUCAGAUUGUUUCCACUAAAAUCUGAGUUUUCCCUUCGUAUAUCAUACAGCAAUAACUUUCGCACCAACUAAUUCG